UGGGGAAUAUUGGACAAUGGAGGAAACUCUGAUCCAGCAAUUCUGUGUGUGUGAAGAAGGUUUUAGGACUGUAAAACACUUUUAGUAGGGAAGAAAAAAAUGACGGUACCUACAGAAGAAGCAACGGCUAAAUACGUGCCAGCAGCCGCGGUAAUACGUAUGUUGCGAGCGUUAUCCGGAAUUAUUGGGCUUAAAGGGCAUCUAGGCGGUAAGACAAGUUGAAGGUGAAAACCUGUGGCUCAACCAGAGGCUUGCCUACAAAACUGUUGAAAUAGAGUACUGGAAAGGUGGGUGGAACUACACGAGUAGGGGUGAAAUUCGUAGAUAUGUGUAGGAAUGCCGAUGAUGAAGAUAACUCACUAGACAGAAACUGACGCUGAAGUGCGAAAGCUAGGGGAGCAAACAGG
This 407-nucleotide ribosomal RNA is filed under the name Verrucomicrobiota bacterium. RNAcentral describes it as "Verrucomicrobia bacterium partial 16S ribosomal RNA". It matches the Rfam family "Bacterial small subunit ribosomal RNA", at positions 355 to 776 of the family's 1533-position model. The record is from RNAcentral. Lineage: Bacteria; Pseudomonadati; Verrucomicrobiota.